UUUUUUUUUGCAUUUAGCAUGAUGUUUCAUGCACGAAUCCCAUAGUAUCUUCUCCUUCAGGCCUGGAAAGGGUCCUAGACAAUGUGGUUUCCAAGGUUUGCUGACUCCUGGAGUCCUAGCCAAGGGAGGUCAAGUCCUGAACAGAUUCAGUGGGCAGAACCCACUCUGUAAACCCAAGUCAAGAGCCUGGAAAAAGGCUGGACAAGUGUUAUGCCUUGCUUGGCUGAGCAGAUAGAAUGAGGAGAAAAAAAUAAACAAAGAGAAGAUGAUGACUAAAUUCAAAGAGUGAAAUUCAGAGGUAGACAAAUACAAAGAGGGGUAAUAUCGUCACAGGUCUGAAGUUAAGAAAGGGAGACCUGAGUAGAAGAGGACCUGUGCAAGUGGGCCCAGUCUUUUGUUUAUAUAGUGGGAAACCGAGGCUAGGAAAAGGGUCAGGAUGGCUCCAUGUCACACAGUAAGUUAGAGACACAGCGGGGGUGGGAACCGGGUCUUCUGACUCCAGGGCUGCUCACGGGACACCAUAAGGUCAGCCCAAACUUGUUCCUCUAAGAUCGCGUAUGUUUAGUGCAGUCAGAGGGUCAGAGAAGAAAAAGAAAGUUGGUUAGUUAUGGUUUGCCCACUGCACUGGGCCCCGGGCGAGGCCUUCUCCCUGUAAGCACUCUUUCUCUGAAGAGUGGUUAUGAAGGUUUGUUAGUUCCAUUGGCCUCCCAAUUCUUCUGGAAGCUUCAGCAAAGAGAAAGGGAAAAAAAGGAAAAAAAAAAAACCAAGUAAAUCUUCAGUUUUGGAUCAUGAGAGGAACCCAGAAGAGGCCUCACUUGAAGGCUCACUAGGCUUUCCUCAGAGAAUAAGAUCUUCCCCAAAUCUGUAGUUUCUUUGAAGCUUUUUCUUUCAAUUUUUUUUUCAGUCUUUAAAUAGGAAGCAACUCAAAUAUUUCUUUGUUAGCAUAUGCUUCUUCAUUUGAUUGGCUGGCAGACAGUAUCAUGAAAAUCUGACUGAUAUCAUCCCCUUCCUCCUUCCCUGCUCUCCUUCCCCCUGGCUGAGUCCAGGACUUCCUUUCACUCCAGGCCCUUCCUCUCCAAGUCCAAACCACGGCCUGGGGGUGCCUAGCCUAUGAUAUUCCUGCUUCCAGGAAGGCUGUGGCAUCCGAAUACAGAGAGCCAAAGGAUCUACUCCUAUGCCUAGUCGAGUCGCAGGGGGAUGGGGCUGGAAGAGUCACCAAGGUCGGCUUUUGAAGGUCUUAAAUUGCCAAAUGCAAGAGUUUUCUCUUGAUGCUCUAGGCCAUGGGUGGCCAGAGAAGUCUUUAAAGGAGAAACAUCAUGAUCAGGUUGAGUGUUUAGACAAGACUGUGGAGGAGCUGUGUGCAAUUGGAGCGGCAGAGAGACGGCUGCCCAGGCUCAGGAUGCUCUGCAGGAGAGGUCCUGAUGGCUUGACCUUGGGUCGCGCCACAGUGACGACAAAAAGGAGAUGGAUUCAGUACAUAUAAAAGAGAGAUUCAAAAGGAUCUGGCUGUGAUGAGCACGGAGAGGGUGGAGGGGAUUAUUUGGUUAGGGAGGAGGAAGUGGGCAGGGGAAGUCCAGGAAUAUCAGGUUUCUGGCCUGGGAGCUAGAAUAUAUCCAAUUAAGUAAGGAGGCAGAGAUAUGGCAGGAUGGGAGCUAUGAAGGAGAAGGAAUGGUGCGUUCCUCUUGGGGCAUUCUGAAUUAAGGAGCUCUUGGGACAUGCAGAUAGAUAUGGGAUAGACAGGUCUGGGAUCAGGAAGGCACCACAGCUAAGCAUCCGGACCGGCUAGCCAGAUGGUGAUGAAGCCAGGCGCAGAGGACUCUGAUGGGUUUAUGCCUAGAUCUAUGUCCACUACCCUAAUCAGAGUCUCUGUGUCCUCUACACUGUCACCCCAUUGAUCCUUCUGAAGCACUCAGCUCAGACUGAAUGAACUACCAGUGUGCACAACCUUCAGUGGGUUUUUAAUGCUCAAUGAAAGACUUUUUCCAAGGUCUUUCAUGCCCUGGCCUCUCUCUGCUCUUCUAGAAUUGUUUUUAUCUCCAUACAAACACCCCAUGCACCUUACAAACUAAACUAUAUCUUUCCUUGAAUAUAUUCAUUCUUUUCUGUUUGCUCAGGAUGUUUCUUUCACCUUUUCCUCUUGAAAGCCUAUCCUGUCCACAGAGAAUCAGAUGAAAUUUUCCUUGGUCACCCGCCCCCCCUAUAGUGAUCUUUUGGGUCCUGAUGCCUCCUGAUUUGAAUUGUGACACCCCUCCAUGUACCAUGGCCACAUGGUUGUGAUCCUCUUCAGCUCCCAAAAACAAUAGGGCUAAGUUCCGUACCACUUGCCUCAAGGAAGGGACGUAAGGAAAUAUAGAACUAGGAGAACGAUUAUUAAGACAGACCUUGGCUUUUGAGUUUUAAAAGUCAAGGAUAUGAAGUUCUAAGGACUUGGACUUUUGAGUUUACAUUUUAUGUAAUAAAUUAUAGAUUAUUUGGAAACAGAUGUGAAGCCAGACUUCCUAACUGCCAGAUUAGAAGCAGAUUCUCCAGAUUGAGUAAAAGGAGAAUUGGAGGGCUCAGUCUCCAGGAAUCCUACAGGCCGGGGUCUGGUGGGCACUGACUGCCACUGCAGCUACUCAGUCUCUAUCCCAGGAAGUCUUUCUCCCACCACCGCAUGAGCUGACCUUGCAGUUGGAACAUCAAUAGGGACCCUCCAUCAAGGUAACUCCUGUCAGGUCCGGAAGACAUUGUCUAGUCUCUUUCUGGGUUGCUCAGAUGGACAACUCCCUUUCCCAUUGUCUAGGACCCUACUGUGAAUUCUACUCAUACGUCCUAAGAUAAAGGGUGGGAUCCCAGACGUCCAGUGGUCUGCUAGUGAUAUAACUCCUGCCCCACACCAUGUUUGUACUUCUAGGAUAGCUCAGAAUCCCCUCUGGCAGAAAUAUACUCUGUCCCUGACUUUUCUACUACCUUUAGAUUAUGAUCUUUCUCAUACUAUGGAUACUUGUUAGGUUGGGUAUCUUUGGGGGCCUCUCCAUUCUUCCCCACUUUCCUCUCUUCUCCAGAGGCUGGUCAACCAGGACUCAGGCCUUUGGAUUUCCUGUUGACUCAGACAUCAGGGAGCCCUGGUAGGGAGGGGGAGAGGGCAGUCAGGGCAACAAUUCCUCUGGCUGCUCCUUGUCAGGUAGCUGCUCUCAAUGGGAUCCUCCCUGACCUCCUGUCUCCUUUGGAGUUCCUGUCACCUUAGUCUUAUCUUGCUCCUUCUGAACAAGGUGGUGAAAGUUCUGUUACCAGCAGCCUCAGACACCACACUUAUCUCUUGUUUUCCUCUACCCUUGUCUGUAUCUUCAUAGCCAGUGCCUUGGUUAAAUCCUCCUUGAAUUAUUCCAAUUCAGAUGGGACAUCUGUUUUCUAACGGAAUUCUAUUGCAGAUUCCAUUUUCCAAAAAUGGAAUGAUAUGAUAAUAUCUGCCCUUCCACAGCUCUUCUUACAAUGUGACUUUGACAAUUCACCCUCAAGAGGAAAUGACACUGUGACUUCUGACUAGUCAUAAAAGAUGAUACUGCUUCUGCCUCAUUCUUUGGGAACACUUGCCUUUGGAGCCUGGGCCUGUCAUGUAAACAGUCUGACUUCCUGGCGACUGCUGUGCUAUGAGGAAGCUGAAGCCAGACCCUGAGUGUGACCAGUGGAGAAGCCCUGUGGCUAACUGAAGAGACAGAUUCAUGACCAACGCCCAGUGGCUUCAGCACCCCCUGACUGCAACUACCAGAGAGACCAGGGCCAGAAUUGCCCAGCGGAGCUCUUCCUGAAUUCCUGUCUCACAGGCACCAUGAAAGAACUCGAAUAAUCACUGUCGUACGUGGCUCUCUGCGAAGUGAUUUACUAUACAGCGACAGAUAACUGCGACUGACGGAUAUGCUUCAGAGACAUCUGCAGAUGUGCGUCUGCAGGGGCAAACAAAAGGUGUCCAUUCUGGGUGGCAAGCUUCCUGUGAUGAAGGGAUUGGGCCUUAUUGUAUUCCCCAGAGUGGCCAUCACACAGUGGUCCAUUCAUGAGUAUUUGUGAAUGGCCCAAAAGAUGUGCCAGUGAGAGUUUUGGUCUUCAAGGAAGAUUUGGGCAUUCUGAUCAUGUGAUAAAUAAGAAAAUGGAGGUCAUUGCAUUGCUGAUCCCCUGAAGGACAGACUGUGGGUUCUGUUUCCACUUACAAGUGUGUUUCUUUGAGCCUUGAUGAUGAAAAUCUGAUAUCUUUCUGAUUUAAGAUAUUCUUUUGAACUGAUAUUUUCAUUAAGAAGCUGAAUACUAAUUGUA
RNAcentral lists this long non-coding RNA (4287 nucleotides) under Marmota monax (woodchuck). The record is from RNAcentral. Lineage: Eukaryota; Metazoa; Chordata; Mammalia; Rodentia; Sciuridae.